GACGAACGCUGGCGGCGUGCUUAACACAUGCAAGUCGAACGGAAAGGCCCUGCUUUUGUGGGGUGCUAGAGUGGCGAACGGGUGUGUAACCCGUGAGUAACCUGCCCUUGACUUUGGGAUAACUUCAGGAAACUGGGGCUAAUACCGGAUAGGAGCUCCUGCUGCUUGGUGGGGGUUGGACAGUUUCGGCGGUUGGGGAUAGACUCGCGGUUUACUAGCUUGUUGGUGGGGGAGUGGCUUACCAAGGCUUUGACGGGUAGCCGGCCUGGGAGGGUGACCGGCCACAUUGGGACUGAGAGACGGCCCAGACUCCUACGGGAGGCAGCAGGGGGGAAUAUGGCACAAUGGGCGGAAGCCUGAUGCAGCAACGCCGCGUGCGGGAUGACGGCCUUCGGGUGGUAAACCGCUUUCGCCUGUGACGAAGCGUUAGUGACGGUAAUGGGUAAAGAAGCACCGGCUAACUACGUG
This 468-nucleotide ribosomal RNA is filed under the name uncultured bacterium. RNAcentral's name for it is "partial 16S ribosomal RNA". It matches the Rfam family "Bacterial small subunit ribosomal RNA", at positions 28 to 507 of the family's 1533-position model. The record is from RNAcentral.